CAGCCGUAAACAAUGUGCGUUAGGUGUGUCGGUAACCACGUGUUACUGAUGCGCCGAAGAGAAAUCGUGAAACGCACCACCUGGGAAGUACGGUCGCAAGGCUGAAACUUAAAGGAAUUGGCGGGGGGAGGCACCACAACAGGUGGAGCCUGCGGUUUAAUUGGAUUCAACGCCGGACAUCCCACCGGAUAAGACAGCUGAAUGAUUGUCAAUCUGAAGGUUUUACAUGACUAGCUGAGAGGUGGUGCAUGGCGUCAGUGACU
RNAcentral lists this ribosomal RNA (263 nucleotides) under uncultured archaeon. RNAcentral describes it as "partial 16S ribosomal RNA". It matches the Rfam family "Archaeal small subunit ribosomal RNA", at positions 748 to 1008 of the family's 1478-position model. The record is from RNAcentral.